RNAcentral lists this ribosomal RNA (253 nucleotides) under uncultured bacterium. Its description in RNAcentral is "partial 16S ribosomal RNA". It matches the Rfam family "Bacterial small subunit ribosomal RNA", at positions 524 to 776 of the family's 1533-position model. The record is from RNAcentral.
UACAUAGGGGUCAAGCGUUGUCCGGAUUUAUUGGGCGUAAAGAGUAUGUAGGCGGCUAUUUAAGUCAGACGUGUAAGCCCACGGCUCAACCGUGGAAUUGCGUUUGAAACUAUUUAGCUUGAGUGCAGGAGAGGAAGGCGGAAUUCCCAGUGUAGCGGUGAAAUGCAUUGAUAUUGGGAAGAACACCGGUGGCGAAGGCGGCCUUCUGGUCUGACACUGACGCUGAGAUACGAAAGCCAGGGGAGCGAACGGG